UAAGCGGAGGAGAAGAAACUAACCAGGAUUUCCCUAGUAACGGCGAGCGAACCGGAAAGAGCCCAGCUUGAAAAUCGUGGUGCCUCGCACCUCGAAUUGUAGUCUGGAGAAGGUCCCUCUGCGACGCGCCGGACCCAAGUUCCCUGGAAAGGGACGUCAUCGAGGGUGACAACCCCGUCCGCGCCCGGAACGCGUCGCUCCACGAGGACCUGUCUGCGAGUCGGGCUGUUUGGGAAUGCAGCCCUAAGCGGGAGGUAAAUUCCUUCCAAGGCUAAAUAUGGGCAAGAGACCGAUAGCGAACAAGUACCGCGAGGGAAAGAUGAAAAGGACUUUGAAAAGAGAGUUAAAAAGUGCUUGAAAUUGCUGGGAGGGAAGCGAAUGGAAGCUGCGGGUGCGCCCCGGUUGGAUGUGGAACGGCUUCGGCUGGUCCGCCGCUCAACGCGGGGCGCUGGUCAGCGUGGGCCACGGCGCCGGGACAAGAGCGGGGAUUCGCUUCCCGCCUAUGCCGGUGCGGUGGCCGAGGCACGAAGCGCGCGCCGCAAGGCGUGGGUUCGCCCAACUGCGCGCUCGGGACGCUGGCGUAUUGAGCUCUUCAUCCGACCCGUCUUGAAACACGGACCAAGGAGUCUAACAUGUAUGCGAGCCGGUGGGCGGCAAACCCAUUGAGGCGCAAGUAAACUGACAGGUGGGACCCCGACCGUGAGGGAGGGAGCACCAUCGACCGACCGUGAUCUUCUGUGAAAGGUUUGAGUGUGAGCAUACCUGUUGGGACCCGAAAGAUGGUGAACUAUGCCUGAGCAGGGCGAAGCCAGAGGAAACUCUGGUGGAGGCUCGUAGCGAUACUGACGUGCAAAUCGUUCGUCAGACUUGGGUAUAGGGGCGAAAGACUAAUCGAACCAUCUAGUAGCUGGUUCCCUCCGAAGUUUCCCUCAGGAUAGCUGGAGCUCGUGUACAAGUUUUAUCAGGUAAAGCGAAUGAUUAGAGGCAUCGGGGGUGUAACACCCUCGACCUAUUCUCAAACUUUAAAUAGGUAAGCCGCCGGGGUUGCUUGGUUGAACCCCGGCACAGAAUGAGAGCUCCAAGUGGGCCAU
This 1091-nucleotide ribosomal RNA is filed under the name Hygroamblystegium varium. Its description in RNAcentral is "partial 26S ribosomal RNA". It matches the Rfam family "Eukaryotic large subunit ribosomal RNA", at positions 47 to 1134 of the family's 3401-position model. The record is from RNAcentral. Lineage: Eukaryota; Viridiplantae; Streptophyta; Bryopsida; Hypnales; Amblystegiaceae.